AUUGAACGCUAGCGGUAGGCCUAACACAUGCAAGUCGAACGAGUGGCGGACGGGUGAGUAAUCUCUGGGAAACUGCCCGAUGGAGGGGGAUAACUACUGGAAACGGUAGCUAAUACCGCAUACCAUGCGAUGUGCCCCGAUGGGAUUGGCUGGGAGGUGGGGUCAUGGCUCACCUAGGCGACGAUCCCUAGCUGGUCUGAGAGGAUGACCAGCCACACUGGAACUGAGCAACGGUCAAGACCCCUACGGGAGGCAGCAGUGGGGAAUAUUGCACAAUGGGCGAAAGCCUGAUGCAGCCCUGCCGCGUGUAGGAAGAAGGCCUUCGGGUUGUAAAGUCCUACCAGCGAGGACGCUUUACUCGCAGAAGAAGCACCGGCUAACUCCGUGCCAGCAGCCGCGGUAAUUC
RNAcentral lists this ribosomal RNA (406 nucleotides) under uncultured bacterium. RNAcentral's name for it is "partial 16S ribosomal RNA". It matches the Rfam family "Bacterial small subunit ribosomal RNA", at positions 30 to 526 of the family's 1533-position model. The record is from RNAcentral.